Molecule: ribosomal RNA, 273 nt
Filed under: uncultured bacterium
Lineage: Bacteria
Description: partial 16S ribosomal RNA
Rfam family: Bacterial small subunit ribosomal RNA
Source: RNAcentral
UACGUAGGGGGCAAGCGUUGUCCGGAUUCACUGGGUGUAAAGGGCGCGUAGGCGGGUUAGCAAGUCAGAGGUGAAAUCUCCCGGCUCAACCGGGAAACUGCCUUUGAAACUGUUAAUCGUGAGUGCGGAAGAGAGAGACGGAAGUCCAGGUGUAGCGGUGAAAUGCGGAGCUAGCUGGAGGAACACCGGUUGCGAAGGCGGUCUCUUGGUCCGUAACUGACGCUCAGGAGCGCAAUCGUGGGUAGCCAACAGGAUUAGAUACCCGCGUAGUCC